This 227-nucleotide ribosomal RNA is filed under the name Bicosoecida sp. CB-2014. Its description in RNAcentral is "partial Bacterial large subunit ribosomal RNA". It matches the Rfam family "Bacterial large subunit ribosomal RNA", at positions 2679 to 2912 of the family's 2925-position model. Lineage: Eukaryota; Bigyra; Bicosoecida. The record is from RNAcentral.
UAGUACGAGAGGACCGGGAUGGACCUACCACUGGUGCACCAGUUGUUCUGCCAAGAGCAUAGCUGGGUAGCUAAGUAGGGAAAGGAUAAGCGCUGAAAGCAUCUAAGCACGAAACCUACUCCAAGAUGAGAUCUCCCAACAAGUAAGACCCCUUAAAGACGAUAAGGUAGAUAGGCCAGAGAUGGAAGUGUAGAGAUACAUGGAGUUGACUGGUACUAAUCGGUCGA